RNAcentral lists this ribosomal RNA (1482 nucleotides) under Patescibacteria group bacterium. RNAcentral's name for it is "bacterial SSU rRNA". It matches the Rfam family "Bacterial small subunit ribosomal RNA". The record is from RNAcentral.
UUUUUUAAGAGUUUGAUCCUGGCUCAGGAUGAACGCUGGCGGCGUGUAUUAGGCAUGCAAGUCGAAUGUGCCCUCGGGUGCAUGGCAAACGGGUGCGUAACACAUUGGUAACCUACCCCAAGGCAGGGCAUAACCUUUCGAAAGGAAGGAUAAUUCCCUAUAGUCUCGUUGAACUUAAGUGAUACGAGUAAAGAUUUAUCACCUUGGGAGGGGCCUAUGGUCUAUCAGCUUGUUGGUGAGGUAAAAGCUCACCAAGGCUACGACAGAUAGCGGGUAUUAACGUACGACCCGCCUCACCGGGACUGAAACACUGCCCGGACUCCUACGGGAGGCUGCAGUCAAGAAUCUUCCGCAAUGGGCGAAAGCCUGACGGAGCGACGCCGCGUGCAGGAUGAAGGCCUUCGGGUCGUAAACUGCUUUUAUUAGGGAAAAAUUUCUGAUUGUACCUAAUGAAUAAGGGACUGCUAACUUCGUGCCAGCAGCAGCGGUAAUACGAAGGUCCCAAGCGUUGUCCGGUGUUAUUAGGCGUAAAGCGUCCGCAGGUUGCUCAGCGCAUCUUUGGUCAAAUCUAUGGGCUCAACCCAUAAACUGCCAAAGAGAUGGCUGAGCUAGAGGCAGGGAGAGGCACGUGGAAUGGCUGGUGUAGGAGUAAUAUCCGUUAAUCUCAGCCAGAACACCAAAAGCGAAGGCAGCGUGCUGGAACUGUCCUGACACUCAGGGACGAAAGCGUGGGUAGCGAAUGGGAUUAGAUACCCCAGUAGUCCACGCCGUAAACGAUGGGUACUAGGCAUUGAGAGCUCGACCCUCCCAGUGCCGCUUCUAAAAAAGCUAACGCGUUAAGUACCCCGCCUGGGGAGUACGGCCGCAAGGCUAAAACUCAAAGGAAUUGACGGGAAUUCGCACAAGUGGUGGAGCGUGUGGUUCAAUUCGACAUUAAGCGAGGAACCUCACCAAGGCUUGACAUCUUGGGAAUCUUUAAGAAAUUAGAGAGUGCCUUCGGGAACCCAAUGACAGGUGUUGCAUGGUUGUCGUCAGCUCGUGUCGUGAGACGUUCGGUUAAGUCCGUUAACGAGCGCAACCCUUAUGCUGUGUUACAAAGUGUCACAGCAAACUGCCCUGGAUAACAGGGAGGAAGGUAGGGACGACGUCAAAUCAGCAUGACCCUUACGCCUUGGGCUACACACGCGCUACAAUGGCCAGUACAAAGGGACGCGAAGCGGUAACGUGGAGCAAAUCCCUAAAACUGGUCCCAGUUCGGAUAGAGGUCUGCAAUUCGACCUCUUGAAGCCGGAAUCACUAGUAACCGUAUAUCAGCCACGGUACGGUGAAUACGUUCUCGAAUUUUGUACACACCGCCCGUCAAAUCAAGGGAGUCGGGGGUACCUUAAGGCCGACAUUGGUCGGUCCAAGGUAAAACCGAUGACAGGGAUUAAGUCGUAACAAGGCAUCCGUAGCGGAAGCUGUGGAUGGAUCACCUCCUUU